AGAGAGAGACAUGCGCGCAUAUCAAUAAGCGGAGGAAAAGAAACUAACAAGGAUUCCCUUAGUAACGGCGAGUGAAGCGGGAAGAGCUCAAAUUUGAAAUCUUCAAGGUUUUACCUUGACGAAUUGUAGUUUAAAGAAGUGUUUUCUGUUGAAGUUUUGGUAAAAGUUCUUUGGAAUAGGACAUCAUAGAGGGUGAGAAUCCCGUAUUUGACCAUUAUUUUCCAGCUUUGUGAUACACUUUCAAAGAGUCGGAUUGUUUGGGAAUGCAGUCCAAAAUGGGUGGUAAAUUUCAUCUAAAGCUAAAUAUUGGCGAGAGACCGAUAGCGAACAAGUACCGUGAGGGAAAGAUGAAAAGAACUUUGAAAAGAGAGUUAAACAGUACGUGAAAUUGUCAAAAGGGAAGCGUUUGACACCAGUGUUGUUUUCUCGAAAAUCAAUUAAAAAUGGCUCGAUUUUGUAUUGUUGAGACCUUAAAAGCUCACUGUACAUUUUUCGUGUCUUUUUUAAUGCACUUUUCGUUUAACAAGUCAACAUCAGUUUCUUUUGUUGUAAAAGGGUCAUUGGAAGGUGGCUUUCUUUUCGGAGAAAGUGUUUAUAGCCUUUGGCCUCUGCAAUCGGAAGAGACUGAGGUCUGCAGCGUAGACUCUUCGGGGUUAGAUACAUUUGUGCUAAGUUAUAGCUUUUUAUAGACAACUUGUUGACUAUAAUUAGUCUUGUAGCUUACUCGCUUAUGCUAUUUUACCUACGCUUAGGAUGUUGAAGUCAUCGUAUCGCGC
This 776-nucleotide ribosomal RNA is filed under the name uncultured Neocallimastigales. RNAcentral's name for it is "partial large subunit ribosomal RNA". It matches the Rfam family "Eukaryotic large subunit ribosomal RNA", at positions 23 to 645 of the family's 3401-position model. The record is from RNAcentral. Lineage: Eukaryota; Fungi; Neocallimastigomycota; Neocallimastigomycetes; Neocallimastigales.